UCGAGGCUCAAUAGAGAAUUUCUUGCUGAAAGGUACCCAUUUGCGUGCAAAUUCAGCGGUUUCUGACAAGGCUUCGAAGGUGAGCAUGGAAGCUCCAUCAUCAGAGAUGUAGCAUGAGAUCUUGUCGACAGGGUAGUCCAUGGACAAGAUUGAAAGAACAGUGUUGGCGGUAUUAAGUGGAGGUUCUUUCAUGGGAUCCACAGUACUCACAAACACAUCUACCGAGCAGAGCAUGUUCGGUUCACCCUCCCUCUCAUAUCUGCAUCAGUAAUACCGUUGUAUUAACAUAGUAACUAGUUAGCGCUUUGAUGCUAAUGUACACAUACUUAACAAAUGUGCGAAUAUAUACCUGAGGGAAAGGCGAUCGAGGUAGGUCUUACGAUCAAUGGGGUACCACUUUGGGAACUGAUCAAGGAUCCAUGAAACUGCAAACCAUAUUUCACACAUGACAGACACUAACCAGAGACCAAAUGCGUCAUUGACCGGAUUCAAAAGCCUGUAUCGAAGAAACAAUGCUAAAAUGAAAAGCCGAGCCACAAUGAUCAUCCGAUAAGGGUUGAUCUUGCCCAACGCAAUUGGUACUUUCCUUGAGAGUGGCUGCCUAGCUCCAUCUAUCCUGCAUUAUGCAGUACGAAUACACAACAUUAUAUAUGUUAGCAAAUGAAAUUAAGGACUUAAAUAUUGGGUUGAAUUGAGUUAAUUAGCUUCAUUAAAAAGUGUUGGAGUUUUGAGACUCCUUGUCCCACAUCGGGGACAUAUGUUCCUUAAUAGGGUUUAUAUAUGUUGCGUCUUCGAUUUAAUCGUUUUUGGUUUGGGCCAUUUCAAAUGAGGAUUGAAGGCUUGGGUCUGAUGGUAUGGGACAUUUUAAUUAAUAUAUUAAAAAUGUUUUGAUUAAAAAACAUAAUUUUUGAAAAGAGUUGUGUAUUUUCAAAUACGAUCAACAUGUAUUUGAAAGGCUAUGAAACAUCCUCUAUAUAUAUAUUUGUAGUCUCAAUUUUCAACAGAGAUAUCAUUUUCCUUUCUUUCUCCCGUACAAAAGCUUCCAAAACGUAAACACACAAAGCAAUUCGUCAGAAUUCUGCAAUCGAGUCCGGAUUGACGAAUUAGAAAGUUGUAUUCUGCUCGAGUUGACGUCAUCAAACCACAAGCACAAGAGUGGGACGAAAAUAUUGUUCGAAGGACAUAGCUUUGCGCUAGCCUCUAUCUAUCAACCAAGUUAAGUAAUUUUGCUUUCUGUAAUUAUUUUGUCAUUAUUCCAUUUUGCAUUACAAAUAUAUUUCUUAUUUCUUAAUAAAGAAUCAAGGGCACUAUUUACUACCCUCAUGUUUCGUGAUUUUCAACAUUUAGUACAUCAAGUUUUUUUCGUCCCAGAGUCAUACCUAAAGUGUAAAUUUUGGGACAGUCUCAUACAUCCGUUAGUCAAACUGCUAAGUCUUCCGUUAACUGUGACGUGGCGCCCAUGUGGACAAUGACUGGACGACACGUGUCAUCCAUGUGGAAAUUAAAAAUAAAUUAUUUAUAAAAAAUAUAAAAUAUAUAUAUAUAUAUAUAUAUAUAUAUAUAUAUAUAUAUAUAUAAAAAGGUCGUACCCAGUGCACAAGGCUCCCGCUUUACGCAGGGUCUGGGAGAGAUGAAUGUCGGCUAGCCUUACCCCCAUUUAUGGAGAGGCUGCUCCCAAGUCUCGAACCCGAGACCUACCGCUCAUGGGCGAAGACACUUGCCAUCACACCAAGUGCGACCUCUUAUAUAUAUAUAUAUAUAUAUAUAUAUUAAAAAAAAAAAACCUUCAUCUUCCCCAGAUUCGGAGGAAGAAGGAAAAAAAAAUCGAAUCUGCAACCCAGAUUCAGAGAAGGAAGAAGAAAAAAAAAAAAAAAAAAACCCAGUUCGUCCCCCCCCGCCCCCCACACCACAAAAAACCCAACCCCUGCAACCCAAAAGAAGGAGGAGGAGGAAGAAGAAGAAAAAAAAAAAAAACCAAACCCCAGAAGAAGAAGAAGAAGAAGAAGGAGGAGGAAGCAGAAGAAGAAGAAGGUAAAAAAACAAAAAACAAAAAAACAAAACAAAACGUGGAUGACACGUGGUGCCCAGUCAUUGUCCACAUGGGCGCCACGUCACAAUUAACGGCAGAUUUAACAGUUUGACUAACGGAUGUAUGAGACUGUCCCAAAAUUUACACUUUAGGUAUGACUCUGGAAUGAAAAAAACUUGAUGUACUAAAUGUCCACAAAACUUCAGGGUAGUAAACAGAGUUUAACCCAGAAUCAAUUCAUUUCAAAUUCUGUUAUUAUUUUUUGAAUUGGCCUCCAACAAAAAGCAUAUGUUUAUGUAUACGUACAUGGCCAUGUCGGCAUCAUUCAAUCCGUCAGGUUGAUCACUGCCGCCAAGGUUGCCCUGCUGCAUUACCUGCACGAAAUUAAGAAUGCACAUAUGUACACGAGUUAAAGACAGUACAAAUUAAUCUUGAUGCAUGACCAUAAUAUCUCGAGAGAGCUGCUAUUCGUACUCCAAAAGAGUCAUUAUGCACUCGGUAUUACCGUGUGGGAUCUGACUCCGGCGAUUACGGGUGGGAUAUGUGACUCCCGAUCAGGAUCAUCAGGGCCUCUUCCAUAGCUCUUCGUUCCACGGAGCUGGGCUUCAGCCAGCUGCUUAUUGUUAGUCUUAUAAUAGGGCGAUCUGGCGGCGUUGUUGCCGUUAAUCUGAUCGUGAUCAUCUUCCGGAUGAUCGUGAUUAAUGUUGAAUUCGUGUUCAAUGUCAUCAAUGUCCUCUUCGUCGUCGUCUCCUUCGAUUCGGGGGCUGCCUUUGAGACGCUUGUAUCUGGUUUUGCACUGAGGGCAGUUCUGGGAGCCUUCCCUCCGCUCGUACUCGUAGCAAGGCCUGCACACUGGGAAGCCACAAUCGUUGCACGCCACGAACAAGUUUCCGUCCACCGUCAACCCCACGCCAUCGCCGCAUAUCUCGCACACCUGUACGUCCAAGUUCCUCGAUGGCUUGUGCUGCAUCCAUCAAACACAAACAAUAAACUUCAGUCCAAUUCACAAAAUAACUAAAAUCAAAGCGUAGUUGCUGAAGAAUACAAGAAUCUCACAUAAAAAGUUGAAAAAAAAUAAAUAAAUGUGACGUUAUACACGAGGGUGCACACAUGACAUGUUGUGCAGAUGGUUAAAUGCAGGUGUGAGAAAAAUAUAAUAUCGGCGUGGUUAGUAGUGGGUUAGUGACCAUUUGUACAUGUAGUCACACAUACCAAAUUACACUCUAGUAUAAGACAUGCUAAUCUUUUAUUCAAAAAGACUAGAUUAGACGAAAUUAACUCUUUAACGCUGGUAAAGGGAUAAAGUGUCAUUCUCUCUUAAUCCCGAGUGAGAGAGGACCAACACAUUCAGAAACCCCUCGACCAUCCCAUAUUUUUAUUAAACAAACCUCGCAGAGAGAGAACCAACAAAAGAGAGCCUAAACACCAUCAAAACAAACUAUAGGUGAAAUUAUUAGCUACCUCUUCAUGGCCAUGAAUGACGACGAGUUCAUUGCGGUUGUGAGACCCUGCAACAAGUCCGGCGCUGGCUUCCAUGGCGGCAGCCUGUGUCGAUUUGAUGUUCGAGAGCGAUCAAUAAUGCUGAUGAUCUAGGAUGGUGAGGUUUCUAUUUGAUGAUGAACAAUGGAAGUAGUAGCUAGCUAUAAGGAGGGUGGCAUGGGAUAUUUGGUGGUGAGGUCCCUCUCACCUCCUCUCACCUCCUCUCACCUAAUGGAUUAUGUGUGUGUCUGUGAGAGAGAGAGUCUACAUCACUACAAACAGAAAAAUCACGCCGGCGUAUAUCAGACGGAGCAUCAGCAAUGUAACUUUUUAUCCCAAAGCAGACCUCCGAGCUGAUAUUCAAGUACCCAUAAUAUUAAAAAAAACACACAAUCUUUUUCCAUCAACAAAAAGCCAAGCUUUCUAAAAACAACAAAAGCUACUCAGUAUUACUGUUUAGUGAUAUUUCUCUUAACUCAUAAGUGAGAUGUCUUAGAUUCGAUUCUCGUCAAAGACAAAUUUGAACCAUAUUAUUACUAACCAAUUGUGAGGCUAAGACCCCAUCCCCUUAGUAUAGGUAAUAAAAACAAAAAAGUAAAAUCCAAGACGCAAUUGAGACUACAAACUACGUAGCUAAACCAAAACAGUCAGAUUUUUGUUUUACGUAGCAAUUGUGUAACUUACUAUGAAAUAGAGAGUUAAGUUUUUGGGCACUAUGCCAAAAUUUUGGCAGCCCUCCAAAAAUACUUUUAUGAUUAUAAUUGUGGGAUUAAAUCAAACGGUAAGAAUUAUGUGAGAUUAAAUCCUAUGGUUAUUGUUAGUUACGAGUUUUAAUUUUUUUUUAAUUAAUGUAGAAGUGUAAAAAAUAUAAAAACACUCGUGAUGACAAGCUGUACAACUUUCAUAAAGAGGUUAACUCCGAAAUUCGCCACUAUACUCUCAUAAACCAUAGAUUCAAAUUUAACCAUUGAUUAUCGUUUAUGUUUACGCUCCAUUCUUCUCAUCAAAUUUCCUUUUUUCAAAUUUCCUUUUUUUUAAAACAUGAUCUUUUAGUGGAUGCAAAAAGAUGAACGACUCACAUCAUAGAUGUCACAUUCAGGUUUUUACAGUUAUUGAAAAUAUUGCUCGGAGUUUAUAAAAUCUUUAAAACUAUAUAACAUUGACUCGUAUUUUAGUUAACCGUAAAAAUUAGAACGUGAUAUCAAUGAUCUGAACCGUUCAUUUAUUUGCAUCCACUAAACGAUCAUGUUUUAAAAAAGGAAAUCUAAAAACCGAAAUCCAGUGAGAAGAAUAGAGCGUAAACAACAAUCAACGGUUAAAUAUAAAUCUCGAGUUUGUGGAUUAUGGUGUGUCGGAUUUCGUAUUUGACCCUUUCACAAAAAUUGUAAAGCUUGUCAAUACGAGUGAUAUAAAUAUUUUUUUUUACAUUUUUCACACUUAUGCAAUAAUUAUUAUGAAUUGUUAUUAAAUUUUCACUCAAACGAAAAAUACUAUUCAUGAGGGUUUGGAGGUGUUUUAAAAAUCUAAACGAGAAUGUAACCAUCGUCAAAGCAUAGAGGAUGCAAUCACUAGUGUUUAUAUAUUCUUUCACAUUUUUCACACUUGUACAUUAAUUAUUAUGAAUUUUUAUUUAUUUUGAACUCCCCUAAAAUACUGUUCACAAGGUUUGUAGGGUCUUAAAAAUUUAAACGAUGAUGUGCCCAUCGUAAAAGCAUAGAUGAUGCAUUCACAAGCAUUUGUAUAUAUAUUUUACACAUUCGUCACACUUGUAAAUUAAUUAUUAUAAAUUUUUAUUGUGUUGUGUAUUUUUAAAUUGCUUUGGUAUUUUUAAUAUGCUUUAGAAUUUUUUUAAUCUCAUAUAUGUGAGAUUAAGAGAAUAAAACAUUUAUGAGUACGAGAGAGAGUAAAAAACUUUAUUAGAUUAACUCUAAAAUUGCCGCCCUGCCUAACUAGUGAAGAAGAACUAAUGGAGAUGUACAAAAUGUAUGCCCUAGAAUGUUAGAGAACAAAUUAUUUUUGUAUUUAAUUUGGUUAUAGCAUUUUUAACUUCAAAAUAGAACAAAUUGUUCAAAUAAGCACGUCUAACUGCUUCGAAUUUUCGAUGCUUAUGUUUCAUACACCCUUUUCUAAUUGUUAUUCUGAGAAAUUUUUUCUUUCUUCUGUGCUAAACCCUAAAUAAGGAGAACAAUUUGUGGUGCACUCGUUGCAUCCAACAGCUCUCUCACAUUUGCAACAUCAUGUGAGCAGCACAUAACCAUAUACGUAAAAUAUAUGUUGCAUGCAAGAUUUUCUCGUAAAUCAAACGUAAGGUAGAUGUGAGUGGGGGUGGCACAACAUAAGAACAGAACAGUAAUUUGAGAAUCCAUUGAGCUCCUUGUGAGUUAGUUCCAAAUGCAUUACAAACAACACUUUUCCAAUUUAGGCGGGCGCCUAGGCGGCUUAGGUGGAUUUAUAUAAAUUUAUUAUAUAUCUUGUAAAUAAGUGUCUAUUUACACUUGAAGAAAAAAAAAACUAUUGUAUGAAUAAUAAAAGAAUGAUAAAAUGCAAAAAUAGAAGUAGAAGAAUACACAAAGUAUAUACAUCCAAAAAGUUCAAUAUUUAAAAAACAGUAAGCAUAUAAAUAAGGAGGAUUCUUGGAUGAUAAAUUAAAUUCUUCUUGUUCAUGAUACUUGCAUUGGAUGGACAUAGACUAAAUUAUUUAACCUUGUUGUAUCUAGUUUAUUUUUUUUCUUUGUAUGUAUCCCCUCAAAAAUGCUCCAAUUCAUUUCACUAUUGGAUGAACUUGUAGUAAAUUCAUCAUUUGCAAAUUAGGUACACCAUUUCCAUAAGUAUAACAUCAUGAAACCAAAAAAGAAAAAAGCAUACAAUUAAUAAAAUAUAAAAAAGGGCCUAGGACCACCUAGGUGCCAUCUAGCCCUCCGCCUAGGACAGCUUAGGCGGCCGCCUAGCUCCAGACCGAUUUUUCAAAACGAUUUGCCCUAAAUCACGGCGGGCCUUCACUGCCUAGCGCCUAGGCAGCCACCUAGGUCGAUUUUUAGAAUACUGCUUACAAAACUUGGUACAUUGAUUGCAUUUCAAAGCUACACACAAAAUUCUUACUCUACCUUUAUUCAAUCUUAUUUAUCUUCUGCAGAUGCACAUUUCAAAAAAGGACGCAAGUAUUUUCAGCAAUUGAUUCCGCAUUGUUUCGUGUCAGGUCCCUUGGUUUUCAACACAAAUGGAUCAAUUCGGACCCAGAGUAACGAGAAGAUGGAGGCCAGGAGAAUUGACCAAAUGACGACAAUGGUUGGCGUCCGGUUCUGUCUCCCCAUAAGACCUUUAAGGAAGGGAUAGAGAUGGACAAUCACCCAAAAAGCAAAGAAGAGCUUCCCAAACAGAGGCCCCCAUGAUUGGUACCCAUUGUUUAUGGCGUCCGAAACCCCAGCAACGACUCCAACAAGGUUGAUGACUAAGAUUGUGGUUGGAGGGAUGAGGAGGGUUGUCCAUUUAAACGCGUAUAAUUCUCCGAAAUCCUCAUCAUCUGAUGACUUGGCCGUGACUGUGAAGUUGGUGUCAAUGCCUGCUAAAACCUUGAGAAGACCUUGCACAACGGCGAAGAGGUGAGCUGAGACACCACCAAUCACCCAGAACUGCUCGUUUCUCCACCAUUCUUCGAUGCUCACUCCACUCCAUCUCAGCUCAAGAAUGCCAGUACCAAAGAUUGAGAGAAACAGCGCGAUGAAGAAGAGACUUGCAAAGGUGCUUAUCUAGAAUUUGAAAAAGAACAAAAGAACACAACUUUGUCACAUGGGAAAUCUGUGCUGAACAAGCAUGAGGUUCAACUUCUAUGCUUUGCAGAUGAUCAAUACAAUCAUUUUUUGUUAUUUAUUGUCUUCUAUGAUUCAAUGUGAUGCAAAAGAUAGCUAGAAAUUGUUACCUGUGGCAUGAUGAAUUUGUCAGUGAGCAAGCAGACAGCGGGGAGGAUACAAUAGGCAAGAAGAGGAAGGGAGGUGAAAGGGUAGACAGUAGUGUUGACAUAAGCAAAUCGCUCGAGCCACUUGAGCUUCCCUCCCUUGUAGCCAUACCAGAGUGGACUGUGGCGACUGAAAAAGAUCUCAAUGGAACCAAGUGCCCAACGAAGAACCUGGUUGAGCCGAUCAGACAAGUUGAUGGGAGCUGUACCCUUGAAUGCAGGUCUAUCUGGCAUACAGUAAAUUGACCUCCAACCACGGCAAUGCAUCUUGAAACCCGUUAGGAUGUCCUCUGUGAUAGAUCCGUAAAUCCAACCUAGCUGCAUAUAUCCAAAAGUAGCAACAUAUUCCACAAUGAAUCAAGAAAAUCUGCACUAACUUGACAUAAGGUACCCCGAAUUUAACAGCGCAUAAUAAAAAAAAUUGCUGAAAAUUUUACCUCUAAACCCCAUUCGGUUUUGUCUUCAUAACCGCAACUGAUCACAUGAAUGGCUUCUUUAAGCAUCUGCUGGGCUCGAGGAAGGAGGGACACCGCCUUGUUCCAUCAUUGUUGAAGUCACGAAAAUUGCAGACUGUCCGAAUUUCUUUUCAAAAUUCAUUUGGGACAUCAGUAGCUCUUUGUCAUCAUGCGUUCCUACUCAAUAUUAUGUAACUUUAAGUUUUACUUAAGCCAGGAAAAAAUAAAAAGAAUCAUCGAAAAUGACUAAUUUUGACAAAUCACCUUGUAGGUUUGCAGCAUUUUCAUUUGCAUCAUGCUUGGAGUACUUUGGAAGCUUCUUGCGGCGUCCAAAACACGGGCAACAGUCACAGCUUACCAUCUUCGGGCGCUUAGGACCCUUCGGAGGAUCGUAGCCAUAUAAAGCUUGCCUUCUGAACACACAUCCUGUGCCCACAUACACUGGACCUUGGAUUCCAUCCAGACCUUUCAUGUUAAUCUGAAAAUUAAAGAAAAUUCAAUUUGUUUUAGCAACACAUUCAUAUGUCAGAAAACAACUCAUCUUGGUGCUUCCUGUGGUGAUUACUUACAUCAAAGAAGACUGUAUUUCUGUUCGCGUAACGAUCAUUUCUGUCAAUGCCGUCAAAUCUUUGAGGGAACUGGACAUAGCAAACCUUCCUUCCAAUUUGAGGGUCCAUCAAGAAACACAUGGCCUCUCUUGCAGCCUUGCUGUUGUUUACAUAAUGAUCACAAUCCAAGUUGAGCAUGAAAGGAGCAUUUGUGAGUACUCCCGAGACACGAACCUGAUCAUAUACAUACGAUUAGAAGGUUUUACUUGGUAUUCAAGCAAACAGAAGAAACGGAAUGCUUGAAUUGAAAGUUUUUGUUUAGUUACCAGGGCAUUCAUGGCACCGGCCUUCUUAUGAUGUUGAAAACCCGGCCUCUUCUCACGAGACACGUAGACAAGACGAGGAAGCUCAUUCCCUUCGGUAUCAAGGCCUCCGCUGUGACCAAGAAAGACUUGAAUCAUGCCAGGGUGAUCCUUAGUGUUGUUUCCCGGCCACGGUGUCCCAUCUUGCAUAAUCCACCCUUCUGGCGGAACCUUCGUGGCUUUCGCAACAAGUGCGUUUAUCCUAACCUUGAAUUCCUCAUACUCUCGCUGCAUUUUGUCAUACAUAAAAUAAUUACGAUUAGUCAGCCCCCGUCCUAAUCAAGCAGGUUCUAGUAGUGACAUGAACGCAGUUAUAUGUGCACGCAUACCUUCAUAGCUCGACGCUCCUUAACAAAUGUUGGCUGGACCUUGUCCUUGAGAUAAUCAAUCUUCUCACAGAAGUAGAACUCAGGGGCUCGAGGCUCAAUGGAGAAUUUCUUGCAGAAGGGUACCCAUUUGCGCGCAAAUUCAGCGGUUUCUGACAAGGCUUCGAAGGUGAGCAUGGAAGCUCCAUCAUCAGAGAUGUAGCAUGAGAUCUUGUCAACAGGGUAGUCCAUGGACAAGAUUGAAAGAACUGUGUUGGCGGUAUUAAGUGGAGGUUCCUUCAUGGGAUCCACAGUACUCACAAACACAUCUACCGGGC
Molecule: long non-coding RNA, 9468 nt
Filed under: Malus domestica (apple)
Lineage: Eukaryota; Viridiplantae; Streptophyta; Magnoliopsida; Rosales; Rosaceae
Description: long non-coding RNA (MDOM_LNC014583)
Source: RNAcentral